Long non-coding RNA from Ochotona curzoniae (black-lipped pika), 745 nucleotides. RefSeq lists it as uncharacterized. The transcript has 2 exons. The record is from RefSeq and is a predicted model, not a curated record. Lineage: Eukaryota; Metazoa; Chordata; Mammalia; Lagomorpha; Ochotonidae.
CGGGAGAUGGGGCCUGCAACAUCACAGGGACAGGACAGCAAGCCUGGGCAGUGCGGCCGCGCCGCGCACGCGUGGAUGUACAGAACGUUUAGGGGGCGUGCACAUGCGCGACCGGGCACCGGAAGCUGCCUCCCAGGGCCACCCCCUAUGUCCCAGGGCAAGUCCCAGGACUACAUUUCCCAAAGGUCAACGCGCCGCUCCUGAAACAGCCACUGAAAUGCUUGUCCCUGACUUGACCGUUAACUGAUGCUCAACUGCAAGUACUUGCCCCUCGAACUGUGAACUCAAGUGCGUCCGUACUGGAGAGUUUCCCAUCCAGAUGCGUGCUAGUGUUCCUGGAAAGGUGGCCGAGGAAGGUAGAAGUGGCGGGGCCCCAGCCGCCAAGUCCCAAAAGGAAGGAAUGGCUUCUGGCUCACAACAGGUCCAGACAUGGUGCUUGUGGAGCUUUGUUUGGGGACCAAAGCAGGAGCUGACUUUCCUUGUCCCUAUCAUCUAACCGACAGGCCCCUGCCAGCUUUGCACUCUGGGUCUCUCUGCACUGCAGUGCAGGCCACGCCUCCCGCUCCAAGGCCCUUUGCAGGUGAAGAGUCAGUCACCAUCAGUGCUCAGGGUCCAGCGAGGGAGUCAAGGGACCACCACGCCAUGGCGCAGCAAGACCACCUGACAGCACGCAAGAUGGGACAGAAAAGCCAGCAUGCAUGGUGGAGUGGCCCUUGGUGUCUCGACUGCUGCUGUUGCUGAAGAA